This 1237-nucleotide ribosomal RNA is filed under the name metagenome. Its description in RNAcentral is "bacterial LSU rRNA". It matches the Rfam family "Bacterial large subunit ribosomal RNA", at positions 1564 to 2810 of the family's 2925-position model. The record is from RNAcentral.
UGAAUACGAGAUGCUACGGCGUCGAAGCAGUCUAUGUCAUACUUCCAAGAAAAGCUUGCACUGUCAUAAACAAAUAAUGCCUGUACCAUAACCGACACAGGUGGGUAGGUAGAGUAUACUAAGGGGCGCGAGAUAACUCUCUCUAAGGAACUCGGCAAAAUGACUCCGUAACUUCGGGAGAAGGAGUGCCUUAUUUUAUAAGGUUGCAAUAACAAGAUCCAAGCAACUGUUUACCAAAAACACAGGUCUCCGCUAAGUCGUAAGACGAUGUAUGGGGGCUGACGCCUGCCCAGUGCCAGAAGGUUAAAGAAGUUGGUUAGCAUCCGCGAAGCUGAUAACUGAAGCCCUGGUGAACGGCGGCCGUAACAAUAACGGUCCUAAGGUAGCGAAAUUCCUUGUCGGGUAAGUUCCGACCCGCACGAAAGGCGUAAUGAUUUGGAUACUGUCUCAGAGAGGGGCUCGGUGAAAUAGACUUGUCUGUGAAGAUGCGGACUACCUGCACCAGGACAGAAAGACCCUAUGAAGCUUUACUGUAACUUGAAAUUGAAAUUGGACUUUACUUGCGCAGUAUAGGUGGGAGGCGUUGAGAACAUUCUUGCGGGAAUGUUGGAGCCAUCAGUGAGAUACCACUCUUGUAAUGUUAGAUUUCUAACUUUGUAUCAUUAUCUGGUCAAAGGACAGUUUCAGGCGGGCAGUUUGACUGGGGCGGUCGCCUCCCAAACGGUAACGGAGGCGCACAAAGGUUUCCUCUGAACGGGUAGAAAUCGUAUCUAGAGUGUAAAGGCAUAAGGAAGCUUGACUGUGAGACCUACAAGUCGAGCAGGGACGAAAGUCGGUCUUAGUGAUCUGACGGUGCUGAGUGGAAAGGCCGUCACUCAACGGAUAAAAGUUACUCUAGGAUAACAGGCUGAUCUCCCCCAAGAGUUCACAUCGACGGGGAGGUUUGGCACCUCGAUGUCGGCUCAUCGCAUCCUGGGGCGGUAGUACGUCCCAAGGGUUGGGCUGUUCGCCCAUGAAAGCGGUACGCGAGCUGGGUUCAGAACGUCGUGAGACAGUUCGGUCCAUAUCCGGUGUAGGCGUUAGAAUAUUGAGAGGAGCCUUCUUUAGUACGAGAGGACCGAGAAGGACAUACCUCUGGUGUACCAGUUAUCGUGCCAACGGUAAACGCUGGGUAGCUAUGUAUGGAGUGGAUAACCGCUGAAAGCAUCUAAGUGGGAAGCCCACCUCAAGAUAAGUA